CAGUAGCCGCGGGAAUACGAAGGGGGCUAGCGUUGUUCGGAAUUACUGGGCGUAAAGCGCACGUAGGCGGACAUUUAAGUCAGGGGUGAAAUCCCGGGGCUCAACCCCGGAACUGCCUUUGAUACUGGAAGUCUUGAGUAUGGUAGAGGUGAGUGGAAUUCCGAGUGUAGAGGUGAAAUUCGUAGAUAUUCGGAGGAACACCAGUGGCGAAGGCGGCUCACUGGACCAUUACUGACGCUGAGGUGCGAAAGCGUGGGGAGCAAACAGGAUUAGAUACCCCGGUAGUCCCUGUCUCUUAUAA
This 301-nucleotide ribosomal RNA is filed under the name uncultured bacterium. RNAcentral describes it as "partial 16S ribosomal RNA". It matches the Rfam family "Bacterial small subunit ribosomal RNA", at positions 509 to 809 of the family's 1533-position model. The record is from RNAcentral.